Molecule: ribosomal RNA, 473 nt
Filed under: uncultured organism
Description: partial 16S ribosomal RNA
Rfam family: Bacterial small subunit ribosomal RNA
Source: RNAcentral
ACUCCUACGGGAGGCAGCAGUGGGGAAUUUUGGACAAUGGGCGAAAGCCUGAUCCAGCAAUGCCGCGUGAGUGAAGAAGGCCUUCGGGUUGUAAAGCUCUUUUGUCAGGGAAGAAACGGUGAGAGCUAAUAUCUUUUGCUAAUGACGGUACCUGAAGAAUAAGCACCGGCUAACUACGUGCCAGCAGCCGCGGUAAUACGUAGGGUGCAAGCGUUAAUCGGAAUUACUGGGCGUAAAGCGUGCGCAGGCGGUUUUGUAAGUCUGAUGUGAAAUCCCCGGGCUCAACCUGGGAAUUGCAUUGGAGACUGCAAGGCUAGAAUCUGGCAGAGGGGGGUAGAAUUCCACGUGUAGCAGUGAGAUGCGUAGAUAUGUGGAGGAACACCGAUGGCGAAGGCAGCCCCCUGGGUCAAGAUUGACGCUCAUGCACGAAAGCGUGGGGAGCAAACAGGAUUAGAAACCCGAGUAGUCCCAUG